RNAcentral lists this ribosomal RNA (497 nucleotides) under uncultured bacterium. RNAcentral's name for it is "partial 16S ribosomal RNA". It matches the Rfam family "Bacterial small subunit ribosomal RNA", at positions 28 to 507 of the family's 1533-position model. The record is from RNAcentral.
GAUGAACGCUGGCGGCGUGCCUAAUACACGCAAGUCGAGCGAACGGACGAGAAGCUUGCUUCUCUGAUGUUAGCGGCGGACGGGUGAGUAACACGUGGAUAACCUACCUAUAAGACUGGGAUAACUUCGGGAAACCGGGGCUAAUACCGGAUAAUAUUUUGAACCGCAUGGUUCAAAAGUGAAAGACGGUCUUGCUGUCACUUAUAGAUGGAUCCGCGCUGCAUUAGCUAGUUGGUAAGGUAACGGCUUACCAAGGCAACGAUGCAUAGCCGACCUGAGAGGGUGAUCGGCCACACUGGAACUGAGACACGGUCCAGACUCCUACGGGAGGCAGCAGUAGGGAAUCUUCCGCAAUGGGCGAAAGCCUGACGGAGCAACGCCGCGUGAGUGAUGAAGGUCUUCGGAUCGUAAAACUCUGUUAUUAGGGAAGAACAUAUGUGUAAGUAACUGUGCACAUCUUGACGGUACCUAAUCAGAAAGCCACGGCUAACUACGUG